Molecule: ribosomal RNA, 460 nt
Filed under: uncultured bacterium
Lineage: Bacteria
Description: partial 16S ribosomal RNA
Rfam family: Bacterial small subunit ribosomal RNA
Source: RNAcentral
CCUACGGGAGGCAGCAGUGAGGAAUAUUGGUCAAUGGACGCAAGUCUGAACCAGCCAAGCCGCGUGCAGGAAGACGGCUCUAUGAGUUGUAAACUGCUUUUAUAAGAGGAUAAACUGAGAUACGUGUGUCUGUUUGAAAGUAUCGUACGAAUAAGGAUCGGCUAACUCCGUGCCAGCAGCCGCGGUAAUACGGAGGAUUCGAGCGUUAUCCGGAUUUAUUGGGUUUAAAGGGUGCGUAGGCGGUCGGAUAAGUUAGAGGUGAAAUUUCGAGGCCCAACCUCGGAAUUGCCAUUGAUACUGGUCGGCUAGAGAGUAGUUGCGGUAGGCGGAAUGUAUGGUGUAGCGGUGAAAUGCUUAGAGAUCAUACAGAACACCGAUUGCGAAGGCAGCUUACCAAGCUACUACUGACGUUGAGGCACGAAAGCGUGGGGAGCAAACAGGAUUAGAUACCCGGGUAGUC